AGACAGACUCCCUCUCCCCCACCUCGCUCGCUCGCUCGUUGUGGCGCUGCAGGCUGGGGGAAUAAACCAGAUUUAUGGUGCUGGAGUCUCAUUCUGGAGGUGAUUUCUAGGUUCUUUCCAUCUCAGCUGAAUGAAACAAGCAAAAACGGUGGCAAAAAGUUUCACAUUUCAGGACAAAGUCCGAAACAGCAUAUUAGCAUUUAAGGCAACCAGGACAACAAGGAACAUAGAAGCCAACAAAGAGACAAGAAGAUAUUUUCCCUAAACAUGUGAUUUGACCCUCAUAUAUUAAACACCUAAGCCACAUCUGUUUUCUUUCAAAUUGUGCAGCAUCUGCUGAUGGUCACAACACUGACCCCUUGGAGCCAGAACUCAGGUGAAAUGAACAUUGGACCCAGAGUCCUUGGUACUUCAACUGGCAUCGUGUACUUCAACUGCUCCAGUCCUGAAAUUAACUAUUUCUUCCAAAGAGGUCUUACUCCUUUUAGUGUGAUUAUUUAUUUGCAGUGCUGGCAUGGUGGGAGGUUAGAGUAUGGCAACGUGGCUGCAGCAGUUGGGCACAACUUACCAACUGAGAAGACUUAAUAACCACCAGUUAGUAACAGCAGCGCCUAAGCCUGUCGUGGGAUCAAGCCAAGCUCUGCACCUGGUACCAUCUUCUGAUGAGAGAAUGUUCCAGACCUGGCACUGAUUUCACUGUUCCAGCACAAGAACAAGCGGGACCACUUGGAUCACUAUCAAAGAAGACAUGAAAGGAGGGCAGCAAUCCACUGUGCACCACGGGCUUCUCGUUCUUGCUGUGGUCCACUCUGCUUGCAGGACAUUAUCUUCUAGCCUUUGUUCAAAGCACCUUUUUCUCCUUCAGCACUUCUUUUAUGCUUCUUUUUCUUUUUACCUUCUGUUUCUGCCCUAAAAUAAAUGGUCGUCUUUCACAUCUGUCAAUUAUCCCGACCAAUCGAUCGAUCAGGACAAAUAAGAACGUGGAAAACUGCCGGUCCCGCCCAACCUGAUAACACUGGGAACUGGACCCAGGGCCUCAUACAUACUAAACAGGUGGCGAGCUGGGUGUAGCAAGCUGAUCAUACUUUACCUAUCCCUGUUCUGAAGAAUGCCCUCGGAUAGAGGGGCUGACGAAGGCAUACGAAACUGGACUGGGUGCCCCCAUAUCUCCGAGAGCCUGAAACCUGGAUGGAGAAGACGCAGUUGCCGACCGCAGGAUGGCUGAGUGUUCGCAGGUCCAGGCCAGAGUGUUCCACAGACGCGAGGCCAGCAGGAAACAACCCUCUGACCCACAGGCACGCAGCAGUCAAGGCUGGUCCAUGAGCGCUUGGUGAUCCACCAGGAGGUCCACAGUGAGCUAGCUAGUCACCUACACCAGGCUGGGAAUGCAAGGUUGCUGCGGGACCAGUCACUGGAACUACCUGACACCACCAAGCUCUUCACCCGCCUCCACCUACGACACUGCAUAAGGCUCGGACUCUAUCACAAAGUAAAAGCAAAAUACAGCGUCCUAGAACCAGAAGUUGCCCCUUCCCUCCUGCAAUAUUUCUCCAGCGCCCUCUACCGACAAAGCUUAAUAUCGCGCUCUCUGUUAACAAAUGCUUAGAAUCCAGUCCUUUACCGUGGCGCAGAUAUUGAAGGAUAGAUUUAUUUGAAGCUGAGAGGCUCCCGGGGUAAAUUCACGAAAGAUGGAUUUGUGAACCUGAGUAAAUAAAUAUUUUUCUAUAGUUGAAUUAAUUAU
Molecule: long non-coding RNA, 1741 nt
Organism: Fukomys damarensis (Damara mole-rat)
Lineage: Eukaryota; Metazoa; Chordata; Mammalia; Rodentia; Bathyergidae
Exons: 6
Source: RefSeq, a predicted model, not a curated record